AGUGGAGGAACAGAGGGGCAGCAGCCUCCCGUGCGGCUCAGAGGGAGGCAGGUGCAGCACUGUCCACCCCGCCUGCCCCGCAGCCUCUCCGCGGAGCCUGCCUCGCCUCACGGUCUCCAAGUGGGCAAGGCCGAGCACACGGUGGGUGUCCACUGACACCUCCCUGGCUUCAUGUCACCCGACAUGGUGGGAGGUGGGGGAGGGAGCUGUGGUCUGUCUGUGCCCCACCCCGAGAAAUGCGCAGGUUGGAGAGGAUGAGGGGCCUCCGGGCGGUGGUCAGGUGCUGAGGGUGGGACCCCCACGAAUGGGAGCAGUGCCCAUCCACAGGAGACCCCAGGAAGACCCCCCGCCACCGUGUGCGGACGCGGAGAAGGUGCUGCCUGCACACCGGAAGCAGGUCCUGGCCGCACCGGAAUGUGCCGGCUCCUUGCCUUGGAUUCCCGGCUCCACGACGGCGAGGGGCAGGGUCUGCCGGUUUAUGGCUGCACGGAGGGUGUUGCCAAACAGGGAACCACGCUCAGCGCACAGUAGGCCCUCUCCAAGCCCUCACCCAGCGAGCACUGAGCCAGAGGGUGGGAGGGACUCAGAGCAAAGUGCUGGACUCGGCGAAAUGACAGAGCCUGUGCUGGGGCCGGGAGGAAGUGCCUUGUUGGAAACGCCUUGGAACCCGGAGGGGAGCCACUGGUACCACACCUGCCAGCAGAGCUAUGACACCUGCAGCCCGGCCUCAAGGCCAGCCCAGCCCAGCCCCACACCUGCCAGCCCAGCCCUGCACCUGCCAGCCCAGCCCUGCACCUGCCAGCCCUGCCCAGCCCCCGCACCUGCCAGCCCAGCUAUGACACCUGCAGCCCGGCCUCAACGCCAGCCCAGCCCUGCACCUGCCAGCCCUGCCCCCACACCUGCCAGUCCAGCUAUGACACCUGCCAGCCCUGCCCCCACACCUGCCAGCCCAGCUAUGACACCUGCCAGCCCAGCCCAGCCCAGCCCUGCACCUGCCAGCCCCACACCUGCCAGCCCAGCCCUGCACCUGCCAGCCCCACACCUGCCAGCCCAGCCCUGAACCUUCUUUCAAAAACAGAAAGGAGAGGGCGUGGGGUGGGCACAUGGGACCACCCUGAC
RNAcentral lists this long non-coding RNA (1119 nucleotides) under Oryctolagus cuniculus (rabbit). RNAcentral describes it as "lncRNA (ENSOCUG00000039396.1)". Lineage: Eukaryota; Metazoa; Chordata; Mammalia; Lagomorpha; Leporidae. The record is from RNAcentral.